Gopherus flavomarginatus (Mexican gopher tortoise) is the source of this 3383-nucleotide long non-coding RNA. RefSeq lists it as uncharacterized. NCBI's taxonomy places the organism in Eukaryota, Metazoa, Chordata, Testudines, Testudinidae. The record is from RefSeq and is a predicted model, not a curated record. The transcript is spliced from 3 exons.
CGGGGCUUGUAUUCACCUGGCGCUGCUCUGAGUCUUUGGCGGCACUUCAGCGGUGGGGCCUUCGCUCGCCCCAGUUCUUCAGCGACACUGACGGACCCGCCGCUGAAGCGUCGCCAAAGACCCAGAGUAAGCGAAGGACCCGCCGCUGAAGUACCGUGGAAGACCCGGAGAGAGCGAAGGACCCGCCGCUGAAGUACCGUGGAAGACCCGGAGAGAGCGAAGGACCCGCCGCUGAAGACCCAAAGCGCCGCCCCAUAUCACAUUGACAGGACUGUGUGUCAAGGCAGAUCCUUCAGUUCCUUUUUGUAGAGUGGGCCUAUUUCUUUUUUUUAAUCCAAAGGGUGUAACUGAUUUUUUGAUCAGGGAAAAGUUUCACAUUAUCUACCUUUGCCUAUUUAUUGAUCUGAAAAAGGCUUUUGGGAACAAGCCAAUGUAAGGCUAUGAAGGAGAAUGAGGAUGUGUAACUUCAGCCUCACUGGAGAGUGAGUCAGGUGGGUGUGUAUUGUGACACAAAAGGGUCCACAUGGCUAGCAACAAGUAAUCAAGAGUCAGAGGUGGGAGGACAUGGAGAAAUGGAGAAAGGAGAAAGGGAGCCAGAAGAAAGCAGAACAGGAGGGAAGAGCCUGAGUGGACAUUAUGGAGAUGAAUGGAGGAACUCAGGAGAGGUGUAUGGAGCAAGAAGAGGGAGCUUGGGAGGAGGUCAUGCAACAGGCUGGGGGAACCCGAGGACAGAUUAUGGAGCUGGAUGGAAGACUCCAGGAGGAAAUCACAGAGUCAGCUAUGGGAGCUCAAGGGAAGAUCAUGGAGCUGGAUGGAAGAGCCUGGGUGGAGGUCAUGGAGCAGGCUGGAGGAGACAAAGGAAAGAUGAUGGAGCUGGAUGAAGGAGCCCAGGUGGAAGUCACAGAGCUGGAUGGAGGAGCCCAGGCAGAGGUCACUGAGCAGGCUCGGGAAGGCCAGGAAGUGGGCAUGAAGCUGGUGAAGGACCUGUUGGCAGUGGUUGCCACUUCUGCUCUUCCCCAAAAUGAGAAGACAGAAUUAGAGUUUGUGACCCUAUAGUUUAUGAUGGGGGGUAAUGUACACCUGGUCGGGGAAUUGCUGAGCCAACACACAGUGGAAGAGUUCCAACAGGAAGUGUUUGCUAGGUUCCCCAUACCAGCAUUCCGUGUAACUAGCACAGUGGCCUGUAAUCAAGCGACCAGCUGCAGGGCUGAGAGAGGCCUCUCACUCCAUGAACUUGGCUGUUCUGGGCAAAAGGACAGAAUUUACUCAAAGUUUAUCUUCUUCCUGUGCAGAGCCUCCUCUUUGACAGGCUGGGUGGGGCUAGACCGAUUGCUGGAGAUGCUACAGCAGCUGAAGCACUGUAUCUACUAUAUCCCAGUGGCCCUGGUUGGGGUGAUUGUGCAAGAAGACCCAGAGCUGGAUCUGGAGCAGGAAGUGAAGGCACUGCGGUGGCUGAAGUGCCUGCUGGAUGGAGUCUUCUGUUGUGAUUUGUUGCCAGGCCAUGAGGGGACAGAGCAAGAGGUGCAGGUUCAGGUGGCUGUCUACCAGUCAGGCCGGCCUCAGCGGGCUCUAGAGGUUAAGAGAGCAGCCUGCCAGGCAAUACGAGUGGCCCUGAAGUUCUGAACAGACAACAUGUGAGGAUGCAUCAGGAUUACCAUGGCUCCUGUAUUACAACUGAAGAUCUCAGUUAUCAAUGGAAAAUCAAUUCAGAUUUUGUCCCAGUUAUCUGUGUGCUACUUUUAAUUUUGAAAAGUUAUUGCUUAAUAUGUUGCAAAACAAAACCUCUUUAUCUGCAUUGUGACAUCACAAAUAUCUAAGAGCCACAGUGUGCUAUAGCAAUAUGUGAAGAACUGGAUGGUUCAAUGUACAGAUAAUGGCUAUAGAAUGUUAUGUUUUGAAUUAUAGCUACUAAGCAGUGACGUUUGAAAGAUUUCCAAGUAUCAUAGCUUUCUCCUGGCCUGUAAAUUGUGCAAUGAGCCCGGGUUGCAAUAUUUGUCUUAGAUGAUUUUUUUUCACCACAGCACUGUCCCUAUAUUUGUUGGACUUGCCUUUGCAACUGAAAUUGAUUGUAGGCUCAUAUGAUCAUUUUCAUCGCCUUAGGAUACAGUCCCCAGCUUUCAAGAAAGCUUUAUUCCAUUCUUAUUUGCUUUAUUUUUUAUACACAAAAAUUUCCUGAGAUGAUGAAAAUACCAAGAACGUAAAUGAAUGGAAUAUUUUCUUUUUUGGUUCAAUUUUUAUUGGGAAUCCUCUGUUAAGAGCAGCCAUACUGGUCAGACCAAUGGUCCAUCUAGCCCAGUAUCCUGUCUUUCAACAAGCUGCUUCAUAGGGAAUUAAAAGAAGAGGGCAAUUAUUGAGUAAUCCAUCCCCUGGCAUUCACUCCCAGCUUCAGGCAGUUAGAGGCUAGGGAUGCCCAGAGCAUAGGGUUGCAUCCUUGUCCAUCUUAACUAAUAGCCAGUAAUGGACCUCUCUUCCCCAAUACACUGGGGAAGUAGCUGGGACUUACCAUUACAGGUCUCUGUUGAGGGUUAGAGAACAUAUUAGAUGGUACUGCUUAACUAGUCCACAGAGUUUACAGGUUCUUGACUAAAUUAUGAGUGCCUGAUUAAUCAUUUAAUUUAUGCACCCCUGAUUUGGGCUGGAUUCAGCUGCCAUUGAAAUCAAUGGAAAGACUCCAUAGGGACUGGAGCAGACACUUAGCAAGAAUGUGAGUUAUGGCAGAGAUUAUAAAACUGGGAAAAACUAUACACAGAAAUCUUUAAAAAAAGGUAAUCAGCUUUUUCUCAGAGUAUUAACAUACUUCUUGUCUGCACAAGUUAGUUACCAGGCCCAAAUGGAGUGUCUUUGACCCUUUAAAUUGCUGGUUGAGUAAGCAAAACCAGAUGCCACUAAUUUAUAUGAAUGAAUAAUGGAGCAGCUAAAACUUCCUUUACUCUUUAGUAUAAAACCAAAUCAUGGACAAUUUUAGCCUAUUUAGCCCAGGUCAAAAAGCACAUUUAUAAAUUAUUCAGAAGCCACUUAGUCUUAGCUGGGUGGAAGAGAAACUAGUAGGUAAUUUACAAGGAGACAAAAAUUCCAGCUACCCAGGGUGCAAAAAAGAUGAUCAUGCAUCUAUCCAAUCAGUCUGAAAGAAAGAGUCUUCCUUUGUUUGUACCCUUGUGUGGACUACAUUGCCCUGGCAAGCUUUGCUUAAUUUGUAUGCACAACAGAAAUUACCAGAAAAUUAAGAUAAAGUGUGAUCAAAUAAUAAAUGUUCCAUUUCUAAAUGUUUUAUAAAGGGUAGUAUAUGGUUAAUAGAUGCUAUAGACAUGUAUGUGUACAUCUGUGGAAAGUGUUAUACUGGGUUAUAAAAUAACCUGUGACAGAUACUGGAACUGCAUACAAUA